AUGCAGAUGGUGUCCUGCAGUCGCACUACCAUGAACAUCAAUGGGGAGAUUGGCCCUUACUUCCACACCCUAUGUGGGGUUCGACAAGGCGAUCCCUUCUCCCCAUCCCUGUUCAACAUGGUGGUGGAUGCGCUUGCCGCCAUCCUGGACAAGGCUAAGGCUGCGGGACAUAUUCGCGGCAUCACUCCCCACCUGGCCGGCGACACCGUGAUCUUCCUUCUCCAGUACGCCGACGACACCAUCAUCAUGGUC
RNAcentral lists this ribosomal RNA (252 nucleotides) under Triticum aestivum (bread wheat). RNAcentral's name for it is "partial small subunit ribosomal RNA". Lineage: Eukaryota; Viridiplantae; Streptophyta; Magnoliopsida; Poales; Poaceae. The record is from RNAcentral.